This 77-nucleotide transfer RNA is filed under the name Gammaproteobacteria bacterium. RNAcentral describes it as "tRNA-Arg". It matches the Rfam family "tRNA". From Rfam's summary of the family: Transfer RNA (tRNA) molecules are approximately 80 nucleotides in length. Their secondary structure includes four short double-helical elements and three loops (D, anti-codon, and T loops). Further hydrogen bonds mediate the characteristic L-shaped molecular structure. tRNAs have two regions of fundamental functional importance: the anti-codon, which is responsible for specific mRNA codon recognition, and the 3' end, to which the tRNAs corresponding amino acid is attached (by aminoacyl-tRNA synthetases). tRNAs cope with the degeneracy of the genetic code in two manners: having more than one tRNA (with a specific anti-codon) for a particular amino acid; and 'wobble' base-pairing, i.e. permitting non-standard base-pairing at the 3rd anti-codon position. Lineage: Bacteria; Pseudomonadati; Pseudomonadota; Gammaproteobacteria. The record is from RNAcentral.
GAGCCAGUAGUUCAGUGGAUUAGAACGUUUGUUUCCGGAGCAAAAGGUCGCAGGUUCAAGUCCUGCCUGGCUCACCA